UGGGGAAUAUUGGACAAUGGGCGCAAGCCUGAUCCAGCCAUGCCGCGUGAGUGAUGAAGGCCCUAGGGUUGUAAAGCUCUUUCACCGGUGAAGAUAAUGACGGUAACCGGAGAAGAAGCCCCGGCUAACUUCGUGCCAGCAGCCGCGGUAAUACGAAGGGGGCUAGCGUUGUUCGGAUUUACUGGGCGUAAAGCGCACGUAGGCGGACUUUUAAGUCAGGGGUGAAAUCCCGGGGCUCAACCCCGGAACUGCCUUUGAUACUGGAAGUCUUGGGUAUGGUAGAGGUGAGUGGAAUUCCGAGUGUAGAGGUGAAAUUCGUAGAUAUUCGGAGGAACACCAGUGGCGAAGGCGGCUCACUGGACCAUUACUGACGCUGAGGUGCGAAAGCGUGGGGAGCAAACAGG
This 404-nucleotide ribosomal RNA is filed under the name Pseudomonas sp. RNAcentral describes it as "partial 16S ribosomal RNA". It matches the Rfam family "Bacterial small subunit ribosomal RNA", at positions 355 to 776 of the family's 1533-position model. Lineage: Bacteria; Pseudomonadati; Pseudomonadota; Gammaproteobacteria; Pseudomonadales; Pseudomonadaceae. The record is from RNAcentral. RNAcentral also lists the same sequence under 3 other names.